UUUGAAUAUCAACAUGGCUUUCUAAGCCAAAGAGAGCUAAGAAGGCCUUCAGAAACAAAAAACAAAGAGGUAACUCCUCUACCGAUUCCACAAAGAACCCGUUGAUGUUUCUUCCAAAAUUACCUCCAAAAGAUGAUGAUGAAACCUCUAACAGAUCGUUAGAUGAGGAUGAAGUUGAUGAGAUGCCUCACUGUGUAUCACCUGAUAUCAGCGACUUUGAUAUCAGUGAUUUUGACUCCUCUUCUGAUUCAAGUACUCACAUACUGGAAGAUGUUACUGAGAAUAAUAAAUCAUGUGCAAAAAGGAGGAGAGUUUCUUUUGGAGCCCCUCUGAGACCCGAAUUAUUUGAUGAAAAUUUACCUCCCAAUACACCUCUUGCAAAAGGAGAAAGCCCAGAGACGACCAAAACAGCAUCCACAACCUGUGUCCCAAGAAAGUCAAUAAUGAAGGUACAAUAUUUUAGACAAGCAUUUAAUCUGUCUGUAGUUUAA
Molecule: long non-coding RNA, 491 nt
Filed under: Phascolarctos cinereus (koala)
Lineage: Eukaryota; Metazoa; Chordata; Mammalia; Diprotodontia; Phascolarctidae
Description: lncRNA (ENSPCIG00000036002.1)
Source: RNAcentral